RNAcentral lists this ribosomal RNA (433 nucleotides) under uncultured bacterium. Its description in RNAcentral is "partial 16S ribosomal RNA". It matches the Rfam family "Bacterial small subunit ribosomal RNA", at positions 29 to 507 of the family's 1533-position model. The record is from RNAcentral.
AGCGAACGCUGGCGGCAGGCUUAACACAUGCAAGUCGAGCGGGCCCUUCGGGGUCAGCGGCAGACGGGUGAGUAACGCGUGGGAACGUGCCCUUCGGUUCGGAAUAACUCAGGGAAACUUGAGCUAAUACCGGAUACGCCCUUAUGGGGAAAGGCUUGCUGCCGAAGGAUCGGCCCGCGUCUGAUUAGCUAGUUGGUGAGGUUAUGGCUCACCAAGGCGACGAUCAGUAGCUGGUCUGAGAGGAUGAUCAGCCACACUGGGACUGAGACACGGCCCAGACUCCUACGGGAGGCAGCAGUGGGGAAUAUUGGAAAAUGGGGGCAACCCUGAUCCAGCCAUGCUGCGUGAGUGAUGACGGCCUUAGGGUUGUAAAGCUCUUUUCUCCGGGACGAUAAUGACGGUACCGGAGGAAUAAGCCCCGGCUAACUUCGUG